CCCUUAGAUGCUCUGGGCCGCACGCGCGCUACGCUGGUCGAUGCAACGAGUUUCUUUCCUUGGCCGACAGGCCUGGGCAAUCUUUGAACAUCGAUCGUGAUCGGGAUAGAUUCUUGUAAUUUUUGAUCUUAAACGAGGAAUUCCUAGUAAACGCAAGUCAUCAGCUUGCAUUGAUUACGUCCCUGCCCUUUGUACACACCGCCCGUCGCACCUACCGAUUGAAUGGUCCGGUGAAAUCUCCGGACUGGCGUGAGUCGGAGCAAUCUGACAAACACCGGAAAGUUGAUUAAACCUUACCAUUUAGAGGAAGGUGAAGUCGUAACA
RNAcentral lists this ribosomal RNA (324 nucleotides) under uncultured eukaryote. RNAcentral's name for it is "partial 18S ribosomal RNA". It matches the Rfam family "Eukaryotic small subunit ribosomal RNA", at positions 1470 to 1796 of the family's 1831-position model. The record is from RNAcentral.